RNAcentral lists this ribosomal RNA (876 nucleotides) under Staphylococcus aureus. RNAcentral describes it as "partial 23S ribosomal RNA". It matches the Rfam family "Bacterial large subunit ribosomal RNA", at positions 426 to 1309 of the family's 2925-position model. Lineage: Bacteria; Bacillati; Bacillota; Bacilli; Caryophanales; Staphylococcaceae. The record is from RNAcentral.
GUGAAAUUCCGUCGGAAUCUGGGAGGACCAUCUCCUAAGGCUAAAUACUCUCUAGUGACCGAUAGUGAACCAGUACCGUGAGGGAAAGGUGAAAAGCACCCCGGAAGGGGAGUGAAAUAGAACCUGAAACCGUGUGCUUACAAGUAGUCAGAGCCCGUUAAUGGGUGAUGGCGUGCCUUUUGUAGAAUGAACCGGCGAGUUACGAUUUGAUGCAAGGUUAAGCAGUAAAUGUGGAGCCGUAGCGAAAGCGAGUCUGAAUAGGGCGUUUAGUAUUUGGUCGUAGACCCGAAACCAGGUGAUCUACCCUUGGUCAGGUUGAAGUUCAGGUAACACUGAAUGGAGGACCGAACCGACUUACGUUGAAAAGUGAGCGGAUGAACUGAGGGUAGCGGAGAAAUUCCAAUCGAACCUGGAGAUAGCUGGUUCUCUCCGAAAUAGCUUUAGGGCUAGCCUCAAGUGAUGAUUAUUGGAGGUAGAGCACUGUUUGGACGAGGGGCCCCUCCCGGGUUACCGAAUUCAGACAAACUCCGAAUGCCAAUUAAUUUAACUUGGGAGUCAGAACAUGGGUGAUAAGGUCCGUGUUCGAAAGGGAAACAGCCCAGACCACCAGCUAAGGUCCCAAAAUAUAUGUUAAGUGGAAAAGGAUGUGGCGUUGCCCAGACAACUAGGAUGUUGGCUUAGAAGCAGCCAUCAUUUAAAGAGUGCGUAAUAGCUCACUAGUCGAGUGACACUGCGCCGAAAAUGUACCGGGGCUAAACAUAUUACCGAAGCUGUGGAUUGUCCUUUGGACAAUGGUAGGAGAGCGUUCUAAGGGCGUUGAAGCAUGAUCGUAAGGACAUGUGGAGCGCUUAGAAGUGAGAAUGCCGGUGUGAGUAG